GAUGAACGCUAGCUACAGGCUUAACACAUGCAAGUCGAGGGGCAGCACAGUGUAGCAAUACAUGGGUGGCGACCGGCGCACGGGUGCGUAACGCGUAUCCAACCUUCCCGAUACUCAGGGAUAGCCUUCCGAAAGGGAGAUUAAUACCUGAUGGUGUUUCACUUUCGCAUGUUAUUGAAACUAAAGAUUUAUCGGUAUCGGAUGGGGAUGCGUGACAUUAGAUAGUAGGCGGGGUAACGGCCCACCUAGUCUACGAUGUCUAGGGGUUCUGAGAGGAAGGUCCCCCCACACUGGAACUGAGACACGGUCCAGACUCCUACGGGAGGCAGCAGUGAGGAAUAUUGGUCAAUGGUCGGAAGACUGAACCAGCCAAGUAGCGUGAAGGAUGAAGGUUCUAUGGAUUGUAAACUUCUUUUGCGAGGGAGCAAUAAGGUCUACGUGUAGUCCGAUGAGAGUACCUCGCGAAUAAGCAUCGG
This 476-nucleotide ribosomal RNA is filed under the name uncultured bacterium. RNAcentral describes it as "bacterial SSU rRNA". It matches the Rfam family "Bacterial small subunit ribosomal RNA", at positions 28 to 496 of the family's 1533-position model. The record is from RNAcentral.